GAUGAACGCUGGCGGCGUGCUUAACACAUGCAAGUCGAACGAAGCACUUUGGACAGAUUCUUCGGAUGAAGUCCUUAGUGACUGAGUGGCGGACGGGUGAGUAACGCGUGGGUAACCUGCCUCAUACAGGGGGAUAACAGUUAGAAAUGGCUGCUAAUACCGCAUAAGCGCACGGUGCUGCAUGGUACAGUGUGAAAAACUCCGGUGGUAUGAGAUGGACCCGCGUUGGAUUAGCUAGUUGGCAGGGUAACGGCCUACCAAGGCGACGAUCCAUAGCCGGCCUGAGAGGGUGGACGGCCACAUUGGGACUGAGACACGGCCCAGACUCCUACGGGAGGCAGCAGUGGGGAAUAUUGCGCAAUGGGGGAAACCCUGAUGCAGCGACGCCGCGUGAGCGAAGAAGUAUUUCGGUAUGUAAAGCUCUAUCAGCAGGGAAGAAAAUGACGGUACCUGACUAAGAAGCCCCGGCUAACUACGUGCCAGCAGCCGCCGUAA
RNAcentral lists this ribosomal RNA (495 nucleotides) under uncultured bacterium. Its description in RNAcentral is "partial 16S ribosomal RNA". It matches the Rfam family "Bacterial small subunit ribosomal RNA", at positions 28 to 523 of the family's 1533-position model. The record is from RNAcentral.